RNAcentral lists this ribosomal RNA (315 nucleotides) under uncultured eukaryote. RNAcentral's name for it is "partial 18S ribosomal RNA". It matches the Rfam family "Eukaryotic small subunit ribosomal RNA", at positions 1470 to 1796 of the family's 1831-position model. The record is from RNAcentral.
CCCUUAGAUGUUCUGGGCCGCACGCGCGCUACACUGACCAGUGCAACAAGCAUCCGUCCUUGGCCGACAGGCCCGGGCAAUCUUUGAACGCUGGUCGUGAUGGGGAUAGACUUUUGCAAUUUUUGGUCUUCAACGAGGAAUUCCUAGUAAACGCAAGUCAUCAACUUGCAUUGAUUACGUCCCUGCCCUUUGUACACACCGCCCGUCGCACCUACCGAUUGAAUGGUCCGGUGAAGCCUCCGGAUUGGCGCGCACCUCGGUGCCGCCGAGAAGUUGGCUAAACCUUACCAUUUAGAGGAAGGAGAANUCGUAACA